UAUAUUGUAAUUACCGUCGGUUCGCUGGUACGGCCAGCGAGGCAAGAGGGAAUCCGGUGAGAAUCCGGGACUGCCCCGCAGCGGUGAGCGGGAACGAAAGCCGCAGUACGGCACUGGGAGGUCCUCCUGGGAAGCCGCGGCGAGUAGGCCAUCGGCCCGCAAGUCCGAAGACCUGCCGACGGUCCACGCGGUGC
RNAcentral lists this non-coding RNA (194 nucleotides) under Thermobaculum terrenum. The record is from RNAcentral. Lineage: Bacteria; Bacillati; Chloroflexota; Chloroflexia; Thermobaculales (SeqCode); Thermobaculaceae (SeqCode). RNAcentral also lists the same sequence under 1 other name.